This is a non-coding RNA of Schistosoma mattheei, 43 nucleotides long. NCBI's taxonomy places the organism in Eukaryota, Metazoa, Platyhelminthes, Trematoda, Strigeidida, Schistosomatidae. The record is from Rfam.
CUGCUGAGGAGUCCCAUACCAGGACGAAACGGCCGUCCAGUGC